ACGCUCGACACCUACGGGCAGCAGUGGGGAAUAUUGCACAAUGGGGGAAACCCUGAUGCAGCGACGCCGCGUGAGUGAAGAAGUAUUUCGGUAUGUAAAGCUCUAUCAGCAGGGAAGAAAAUGACGGUACCUGAGUAAGAAGCCCCGGCUAACUACGUGACAGCAGCCGCGGUAAUCUGAGCGGGCUGGCAAGGC
Molecule: ribosomal RNA, 195 nt
Filed under: uncultured bacterium
Lineage: Bacteria
Description: partial 16S ribosomal RNA
Rfam family: Bacterial small subunit ribosomal RNA
Source: RNAcentral